Molecule: non-coding RNA, 24 nt
Filed under: Arabidopsis thaliana (thale cress)
Lineage: Eukaryota; Viridiplantae; Streptophyta; Magnoliopsida; Brassicales; Brassicaceae
Source: RNAcentral
GAUGAGGUAUGUAAUCGAAUCGAU